GAACGCUGGCGGCAUGCCUUACACAUGCAAGUCGAACGGCAGCGCGGGAGCAAUCCUGGCGGCGAGUGGCGAACGGGUAAGUAAUACAUCGGAACGUGCCCAAUCGUGGGGGAUAACGCAGCGAAAGCUGUGCUAAUACCGCAUAAGAUCUACGGAUGAAAGCAGGGGAUCGCAAGACCUUGCGCGAAUGGAGCGGCCGAUGGCAGAUUAGGUAGUUGGUGAGGUAAAGGCUCACCAAGCCUUCGAUCUGUAGCUGGUCUGAGAGGACGACCAGCCACACUGGGACUGAGACACGGCCCAGACUCCUACGGGAGGCAGCAGUGGGGAAUUUUGGACAAUGGGCGCAAGCCUGAUCCAGCCAUGCCGCGUGCAGGAUGAAGGC
This 382-nucleotide ribosomal RNA is filed under the name uncultured bacterium. RNAcentral describes it as "bacterial SSU rRNA". It matches the Rfam family "Bacterial small subunit ribosomal RNA", at positions 31 to 415 of the family's 1533-position model. The record is from RNAcentral.